This 253-nucleotide ribosomal RNA is filed under the name uncultured bacterium. RNAcentral's name for it is "partial 16S ribosomal RNA". It matches the Rfam family "Bacterial small subunit ribosomal RNA", at positions 524 to 776 of the family's 1533-position model. The record is from RNAcentral.
UACGUAGGGUGCAAGCGUUGUCCGGAAUUAUUGGGCGUAAAGAGCUCGUAGGCGGUUUGUCGCGUCGGGUGUGAAAACCUGGGGCUCAACCCCGGGCCUGCAGCCGAUACGGGCAAACUAGAAUUCGGUAGGGGAGACUGGAAUUCCUGGUGUAGCGGUGAAAUGCGCAGAUAUCAGGAGGAACACCGAUGGCGAAGGCAGCCUCCUGGGCCAACACUGACGCUCAUGCACGAAAGCGUGGGGAGCAAACAGG